UACGGAGGGGGCUAGCGUUGUUCGGAAUUACUGGCGUAAAGCGCACGUAGGCGGACUGUUAAGUCGGGGGUGAAAUCCUGGGGCUCAACCUCAGAAUUGCCUCCGAUACUGGCAGUCUCGAGUGCGGGAGAGGUGAGUGGAAUUCCCAGUGUAGAGGUGAAAUUCGUAGAUAUUGGGAAGAACACCAGUGGCGAAGGCGGCUCACUGGCCCGUAACUGACGCUGAGGUGCGAAAGCGUGGGGAGCAAACAGG
Molecule: ribosomal RNA, 252 nt
Filed under: uncultured bacterium
Lineage: Bacteria
Description: partial 16S ribosomal RNA
Rfam family: Bacterial small subunit ribosomal RNA
Source: RNAcentral